RNAcentral lists this ribosomal RNA (517 nucleotides) under uncultured Staphylococcus sp. Its description in RNAcentral is "partial 16S ribosomal RNA". Lineage: Bacteria; Bacillati; Bacillota; Bacilli; Caryophanales; Staphylococcaceae. The record is from RNAcentral.
CACGUAGUUAGCCGUGGCUUUCUGAUUAGGUACCGUCAAGAUGUGCACAGUUACUUACACAUUUGUUCUUCCCUAAUAACAGAGUUUUACGAGCCGAAACCCUUCAUCACUCACGCGGCGUUGCUCCGUCAGGCUUUCGCCUAUUGCGGAAGAUUCCCUACUGCUGCCUCCCGUAGGAGUCUGGACCGUGUCUCAGUUCCAGUGUGGCCGAUCACCCUCUCAGGUCGGCUACGUAUCGUCGCCUUGGUAAGCCGUUACCUUACCAACUAGCUAAUACGGCGCGGGUCCAUCUAUAAGUGAUAGCAAAACCAUCUUUCACUUUAGAACCAUGCGGUUCUAAAUGUUAUCCGGUAUUAGCUCCGGUUUCCCGAAGUUAUCCCAGUCUUAUAGGUAGGUUACCCACGUGUUACUCACCCGUCCGCCGCUAACUUCAAAGGAGCAAGCUCCUUAUCUGUUCGCUCGACUUGCAUGUAUUAGGCACGCCGCCAGCGUUCAUCCUGAGCCAGGAUCAAACUCU